Long non-coding RNA from Centruroides sculpturatus (bark scorpion), 1113 nucleotides. RefSeq lists it as uncharacterized. NCBI's taxonomy places the organism in Eukaryota, Metazoa, Arthropoda, Arachnida, Scorpiones, Buthidae. The transcript is spliced from 3 exons. The record is from RefSeq and is a predicted model, not a curated record.
GUUUGGCUUCUGCUAAUUUGUGAUAUGGAGUUUGACUCUUCGGUUUUGCUUGAAUUCUUCUUGUAGUGCACGGAAAAAUGCGAAUAGAGAAAUAAUUAUAAUAAAAAUACGAGUGAUUUGAAAUCUUCGACAUCUUUUUAUUCGUCAGGGGAUGAACCACAAUCCUGUGUCCUAAUCAAGUCAUCUCAUCCUAUGAGUCCUGGCAAGAAUGGAAAGGCGGAUUCGCCUAAAGACUCUAAACCCUUACAUAACGUGCAAAAUCUGUAAAGGAUAUUUAAUUGAUGCUACAACUGUUACAGAGUGUCUACAUACAUGUAAGUAUUUAAAUUAAAUCUAUCAAUAUAUAAAGUCAAAUCUUGAUUUAGCAUUAAACUGAAGAAUUUUAAACAAUAAGAAUCAUAUGGUAAAAGUGAUUAACCAGUGAUUAUGCAUAAUUACCAAUCAUCUUGGCAAGUUUGAUAAAUUUCACUAAAUUUCUCACUUUUACCAGUGAUUUUGCAUAAUUCCCAAAUGAAGUUGGUAUAUUGGGUGUAUAAAUAUUAGUGAUGCCACGAAUAGUGAUUUUGCUGAAUACCGAACAUUCAGCUACGCUCUUGGCCGAAGCGCCGAAUAUUCGGCGGCCGAAUGUUCGGCAAAAUAUGUGUACAUUUCGCGGGUGAUAUGUUACGACCUGAUACAUUGCGGUGGGUGCGGUAGCGACACUGCGGGCACAUUUGUUUUAUUUGCGAGUAGAUCAUGUCACAACAUGCAUUAUUUGUUCAUUGUUACAUCAAAUUGCGUUACUAAUUAUUACUAAAAAAUAUCACUGUAUCACUUUAUAUGAAAACUGUUCGCCUAGAUCGGACGGCAGACCUUUACAAGUGGUGGUCAGCAAACGCAAAACAGUAUCCAAGCCUGACAGAAUUUGCUAAGAUUUAUCUAUCGUCUCCCGGCAGUAGUGUAUAUAGUGAGAGGCUAUUUUCAGAAGCAGGUAUAGUUUAUGAGGAAAAGCGCAAUCGUUUGCUAUCAACAAAUGCUGAAAAAAUUGUUUUCAUUCAUUACAACUUACCACUGAUAUAUUUUAAGUAUUAAAUGUAAUAAUUUAUGAUUAAAAUAAAUACGUUUUGAGUAAUA